This 253-nucleotide ribosomal RNA is filed under the name uncultured bacterium. RNAcentral's name for it is "partial 16S ribosomal RNA". It matches the Rfam family "Bacterial small subunit ribosomal RNA", at positions 524 to 776 of the family's 1533-position model. The record is from RNAcentral.
GACGAGGGGUCCUAGCGUUGUUCGGAAUCACUGGGCGUAAAGAGUUCGUAGGCGGCUCCAAAAGUCGGGUGUGAAAUCCCACGGCUCAACCGUGGAAGUGCAUUCGAAACUGCGGAGCUUGAAUAUGGUAGAGGAGAGUAGAAUUGCUGGUGUAGUGGUGAAAUACGUAGAUAUCAGCAGGAAUACCGGUGGCGAAGGCGGCUCUCUGGACCAAUAUUGACGCUGAGGAACGAAAGUGCGGGGAUCAAACAGG